AACGCGAAGAACCUUACCAGGUCUUGACAUCCACCGAAUCCUGUAGAGAUACGGGAGUGCCCUUCGGGGAGCGGUGAGACAGGUGGUGCAUGGUUGUCGUCAGCUCGUGUCGUGAGAUGUUGGGUUAAGUCCCGCAACGAGCGCAACCCUUGUGAAUAGUUGCUACGAAAGAGCACUCUAUUCAGACCGCCGUUGACAAAACGGAGGAAGGUGGGGAUGACGUCAAAUCAUCAUGCCCCUUAUGACCUGGGCUACACACGUACUACAAUGGUCGUCAACAGAGGGAAGCAAGACCGCGAGGUGGAGCGAACCCCUAAAAACGAUCUCAGUUCAGAUUGCAGGCUGAAACUCGCCUGCAUGAAGAUGGAAUUGCUAGUAAUCGCGGAUCAGCAUGCCGCGGUGAAUACGUUCCCGGGUCUUGUACACACCG
Molecule: ribosomal RNA, 430 nt
Filed under: uncultured bacterium
Lineage: Bacteria
Description: bacterial SSU rRNA
Rfam family: Bacterial small subunit ribosomal RNA
Source: RNAcentral